GUAACAAGGUUUCCGUAGGUGAACCUGCGGAAGGAUCAUUAAAGCGUUGCCGACGUCGGCCCCGGCCGUUCGGCUUGAAAUAUAGCCUGGACGGUGCUGGAGGUCGCCGGCAGUUGCCCAUUCUUGCCUACUGACCCAGUUGCCUCGGCGAGCCGUGCCACUCGUGGCAGACCGGAAGCCGUUUGAACCCCUAGGGCUCAGGCGGCCCUGGCCAGUGCCCGCCGACGGACAGACUUAAAAUCUUUAUAUAUUGGCCGUCUGAGCGUAUAAAGCAAAUCAAUUAAAACUUUCAACAACGGAUCUCUUGGUUCCGGCAUCGAUGAAGAACGCAGCGAAAUGCGAUAAGUAAUGUGAAUUGCAGAAUUCCGUGAAUCAUCGAAUCUUUGAACGCACAUUGCGCCCCCUGGUAUUCCGGGGGGCAUGCCUGUUCGAGCGUCAUUGCAACCCUCAAGCUCGGCUUGUGUGAUGGGCGACCGUCCUUCCCCUAGGGGCGGGACGCGUCCGAAAAGCAGUGGCUAGGCCGCGAUUCCGGCGCCUGAGCGAAUGGGACUUCCACCGCUUCUAGGACCGGCCGGCACUUGGCCUUUAAACACGGUCUUAACUGACCAUCUAGGUUGACCUCGGAUCAGGUAGGGAUACCCGCUGAACUUAAGCAUAU
This 658-nucleotide unclassified non-coding RNA is filed under the name Arthroderma quadrifidum. Its description in RNAcentral is "sequence contains 18S rRNA gene, ITS1, 5.8S rRNA gene, ITS2, 28S rRNA gene". The stretch from base 285 to 438 matches the Rfam family "5.8S ribosomal RNA". Lineage: Eukaryota; Fungi; Ascomycota; Eurotiomycetes; Onygenales; Arthrodermataceae. The record is from RNAcentral.